CCCGCUGAACUUAAGCAUAUCAAUAAGCGGAGGAAAAGAAACUAACAAGGAUUCCCCUAGUAACUGCGAGUGAACCGGGAAAAGCUCAAAUUUUGAAUCUGGCGGUCUUCAGGCCGUCCGAGUUGUAAUCUAGAAAAGCGUCUUCCGCGCUGGACCGUGUAUAAGUUUCCUGGAAUGGAACGUCGUAGAGGGUGAGAAUCCCGUCUUUGACACGGACUGCCAGGGCUAUGUGAUGCGCUCUCGACGAGUCGAGUUGUUUGGGAAUGCAGCUCAAAUAGGGUGGUAAAUUCCAUCUAAAGCUAAAUACAGGCGAGAGACCGAUAGCGAACAAGUACCGUGAGGGAAAGAUGAAAAGAACUUUGGAAAGAGAGUUAAACAGUACGUGAAAUUGCUGAAAGGGGAACGCUUGAUGUCAGUCGCGUCGUCCGGGGAUCAGCCUUGCUCUUUUGCUCGGUGUAUUUCCUGGUCGACGGGGUCAGCAUCGGUUUUCGACCGUCGGAAAAUGGGCUCGAGGAAUGUGGCACCCUUCGGGGUGUGUUAUAGACUCGGGUCGAAUACGGCGAUUGGGACCGAGGAACUCAGCACGACCUUAGGGUUCGGGGCUUCGGCCCACGUCAACGUGCUUAGGAUGCUGGCAUAAUGGCCUUAAGCGACCCGUCUUGAAACACGG
Molecule: ribosomal RNA, 670 nt
Filed under: uncultured fungus
Lineage: Eukaryota; Fungi
Description: eukaryotic LSU rRNA
Rfam family: Eukaryotic large subunit ribosomal RNA
Source: RNAcentral